UUGUUGGAGAGUUUGAUCCUGGCUCAGGACGAACGCUGGCGGCGUGCUUAACACAUGCAAGUCGAACGAUGAAGCCGCUUCGGU
This 84-nucleotide ribosomal RNA is filed under the name Saccharopolyspora aridisoli. Its description in RNAcentral is "Saccharopolyspora sp. 16K404 partial 16S ribosomal RNA". It matches the Rfam family "Bacterial small subunit ribosomal RNA", at positions 1 to 84 of the family's 1533-position model. The record is from RNAcentral. Lineage: Bacteria; Bacillati; Actinomycetota; Actinomycetes; Pseudonocardiales; Pseudonocardiaceae.